GGUGUACAUAGCUCAAUGGAACGGCAUUCGACUGCAGAUCGAGAGGUCUCCGGUUCCAACUCGGAUAUCUCCU
Molecule: non-coding RNA, 73 nt
Organism: Trichonephila inaurata madagascariensis
Lineage: Eukaryota; Metazoa; Arthropoda; Arachnida; Araneae; Nephilidae
Source: the annotation of a GenBank genome assembly